Molecule: ribosomal RNA, 444 nt
Filed under: uncultured bacterium
Lineage: Bacteria
Description: SSU rRNA
Rfam family: Bacterial small subunit ribosomal RNA
Source: RNAcentral
AGAACGAACGCUGGCGGCAGGCUUAACACAUGCAAGUCGAGCGCCUCGCAAGAGGAGCGGCAGACGGGUGAGUAACGCGUGGGAAUCUACCCAUCCUUACGGAACAACUCCGGGAAACUGGAGCUAAUACCGUAUACGCCCUUAGGGGGAAAGAUUUAUCGAGGAUGGAUGAGCCCGCGUUGGAUUAGCUAGUUGGUGGGGUAAAGGCCUACCAAGGCGACGAUCCAUAGCUGGUCUGAGAGGAUGAUCAGCCACAUUGGGACUGAGACACGGCCCAAACUCCUACGGGAGGCAGCAGUGGGGAAUAUUGGACAAUGGGCGCAAGCCUGAUCCAGCCAUGCCGCGUGAGUGAUGAAGGCCCUAGGGUUGUAAAGCUCUUUCACCGGAGAAGAUAAUGACGGUAUCCGGAGAAGAAGCCCCGGCUAACUUCGCGCCAGCAGCCGC